RNAcentral lists this ribosomal RNA (430 nucleotides) under uncultured Glomeromycotina. RNAcentral's name for it is "SSU rRNA". It matches the Rfam family "Eukaryotic small subunit ribosomal RNA", at positions 569 to 996 of the family's 1831-position model. Lineage: Eukaryota; Fungi; Glomeromycota. The record is from RNAcentral.
AGCAGCCGCGGUAAUUCCAGCUCCAAUAGCGUAUAUUAAAGUUGUUGCAGUUAAAAAGCUCGUAGUUGAAUUUCGGGAUUGGCGCAUCGGUCGUGCCUCACGGGGUGUGAACUGGUGCAGUCAAUUUCUCACCUUCUGGAGAACCGCGAUGUCCUUAAUUGGAUGCCGCGGGGAACCAGGACCUUUACUUUGAAAAAAUUAGAGUGUUUAAAGCAGGCAUUUUUGCUUGAAUACAUUAGCAUGGAAUAAUAAAAUAGGACGGCAUGGUUCUAUUUUGUUGGUUUCUAGGACCGCCGUAAUGAUUAAUAGGGAUAGUUGGGGGCAUUAGUAUUCAAUUGUCAGAGGUGAAAUUCUUGGAUUUAUUGAAGACUAACUACUGCGAAAGCAUUUGCCAAGGAUGUUUUCAUUAAUCAAGAACGAAAGUUAGGGG